GUCGAGCGAACGGAUAAGGAGCUUGCUCCUUUGAAGUUAGCGGCGGACGGGUGAGUAACACGUGGGUAACCUACCUAUAAGACUGGAAUAACUUCGGGAAACCGGAGCUAAUGCCGGAUAACAUUUGGAACCGCAUGGUUCUAAAGUAAAAGAUGGUUUUGCUAUCACUUAUAGAUGGACCCGCGCCGUAUUAGCUAGUUGGUAAGGUAACGGCUUACCAAGGCAACGAUACGUAGCCGACCUGAGAGGGUGAUCGGCCACACUGGAACUGAGACACGGUCCAGACUCCUACGGGAGGCAGCAGUAGGGAAUCUUCCGCAAUGGACGAAAGUCUGACGGAGCAACGCCGCGUGAGUGAUGAAGGUUUUCGGAUCGUAAAACUCUGUUAUUAGGGAAGAACAAAUGUGUAAGUAACUGUGCACAUCUUGACGGUACCUAAUCAGAAAGCCACGGCUAACUACGUGCCAGCAGCCGCGGUAAUACGUAGGUGGCAAGCGUUAUCCGGAAUUAUUGGGCGUAAAGCGCGCGUAGGCGGUUUCUUAAGUCUGAUGUGAAAGCCCACGGCUCAACCGUGGAGGGUCAUUGGAAACUGGGAAACUUGAGUACAGAAGAGGAAAGUGGAAUUCCAUGUGUAGCGGUGAAAUGCGCAGAGAUAUGGAGGAACACCAGUGGCGAAGGCGACUUUCUG
RNAcentral lists this ribosomal RNA (688 nucleotides) under Staphylococcus equorum. RNAcentral describes it as "bacterial SSU rRNA". It matches the Rfam family "Bacterial small subunit ribosomal RNA", at positions 61 to 731 of the family's 1533-position model. Lineage: Bacteria; Bacillati; Bacillota; Bacilli; Caryophanales; Staphylococcaceae. The record is from RNAcentral.